AGUGGCGAACGGGUGAGUAACAUAUCGGAACAUAUCCGGAAGUGGGGGAUAACGUAGCGAAAGUUACGCUAAUACCGCAUAUGCCCUGAGGGGGAAAGGAGGGGAUCGUAAGACCUUUCGCUUUCGGAGUGGCCGAUAUCAGAUUAGCUUGUUGGUGAGGUAAAGGCUCACCAAGGCGACGAUCUGUAGCUGGUCUGAGAGGACGACCAGCCACACUGGGACUGAGACACGGCCCAGACUCCUACGGGAGGCAGCAGUGGGGAAUUUUGGACAAUGGGCGCAAGCCUGAUCCAGCCAUGCCGCGUGAGUGAAGAAGGCCUUCGGGUUGUAAAGCUCUUUCAGCCGGAAAGAAAUCGCCAUUCCUAAUACGAGUGGUGGAUGACGGUACCGGAAGAAGAAGCACCGGCUAACUACGUGCCAGCAGCCGCGGUAAUACGUAGGGUGCGAGCGUUAAUCGGAAUUACUGGGCGUAAAGCGUGCGCAGGCGGUUUUGUAAGACAGACGUGAAAUCCCCGGGCUUAACCUGGGAACUGCGUUUGUGACUGCAAGGCUAGAGUAUGGCAGAGGGGGGUAGAAUUCCACGUGUAGCAGUGAAAUGCGUAGAGAU
Molecule: ribosomal RNA, 607 nt
Filed under: uncultured bacterium
Lineage: Bacteria
Description: bacterial SSU rRNA
Rfam family: Bacterial small subunit ribosomal RNA
Source: RNAcentral